AAUGAACGUUGGCGGCGUGGAUUAGGCAUGCAAGUCGCGCGAGAAAUUUCUUUCGGGAGAUGGACAGCGGCGGAAGGGAGAGGACAAGGUAGAAAUCUACCCUCGGGACGGGGAUAGCGGCGGGAAACUGCCGGUAAUACCCGAUAACAUCUUCGGAUCAAAGGUGUGAUUCCGCCUGGGGAUGAGUCUACUUCCUAUUAGCUUGUUGGCGGGGUAACGGCCCACCAAGGCAACGAUGGGUAGCGGGUGUGAGAGCAUGACCCGCCUCACUGGGACUGAGAACUGCCCAGACACCUACGGGUGGCUGCAGUCGAGAAUCUUCGGCAAUGGGCGCAAGCCUGACCGAGCGACGCCGCGUGCGGGAUGAAGGCCUUCGGGUUGUAAACCGCUGUCGUAGGGGAACAAAUGUAAGGGGGUUCUCCCCUUUACUUGAGUGAUCCUAGGAGGAAGGACGGGCUAAGUUCGUG
RNAcentral lists this ribosomal RNA (467 nucleotides) under uncultured organism. Its description in RNAcentral is "bacterial SSU rRNA". It matches the Rfam family "Bacterial small subunit ribosomal RNA", at positions 29 to 507 of the family's 1533-position model. The record is from RNAcentral.